AUUGAACGCUGGCGGCAGGCCUAACACAUGCAAGUCGAACGAGUGGCGGACGGGUGAGUAAUGUCUGGGAAACUGCCUGAUGGAGGGGGAUAACUACUGGAAACGGUAGCCAAUACCGCAUACCAUCGGAUGUGCCCAGAGGGGAUUAGCUAGUAGUUGGGGGAAAGGCUACCCUAGUCGACGAUCCCUAGCUGGUCUGAGAGGAUGACCAGCCACAAUGAAACUGAGACACGGUCCAGACUCCUACGAGAGGCAGCAGUGGGGAAUAUUUCGCAAUGUGCGCAAGCCUGAUGCAGCCAUGCCGCGUGUAUGAAGAAGGCCUUCGGGUUGUAAAGUACUUUCAGCGGGGAGGCGUUACCCGCAGAAGAAGCACCGGCUAACUCCGUGCCAGCAGCCGCGGUAAUAC
Molecule: ribosomal RNA, 406 nt
Filed under: uncultured bacterium
Lineage: Bacteria
Description: partial 16S ribosomal RNA
Rfam family: Bacterial small subunit ribosomal RNA
Source: RNAcentral